CUCCCGGCUAGGCUUGCCGGGAAGGCGGAUCCAGACGCUAAAGCCCAGCUGUGUGUGGGGUCCGCCCAGGAACUGCAGUUUAUGAACAAACUAAGCCUGACUCUCCUCUCGAAAUAUAUACAAAUAUGGGAGGGGGAGAGCAGGGGGAAGAAGCCUGGCUCCGAGAAAAAGAGUUUGAUUUUUUUUUUUUUCUUUCCCCGAUGACAACGCGGAGCUGCUCCCAGCUCCGUGACGGCCCAAGGAUCUUUGAAGGGGACCUAAUGUCUAGUGCACGCAUCUAAUCAAAAAGGCAUGGGUGCUCCUGCAUGCCUCUUUCAGCUGAAUAAAACACGGAAGGUUUCAGACAACCUGGGUUUCCACUGCUGGAGGCAAGACUGCAAUCAAUAGAUUUGAAGCUCCCAACGUAUGCACUCAACACCCUUGAGCAGGGCAACAUCACGAUGGAAUUGUGCCAGACCCAGCUUGUCCCAGCGAUGGUGUGGUGACCUCUGAUGGUCAGAUAGCACGAGGAGUGAAAUCACAGCCAGCGAUGGGACACAGCUAUACCUCCUCCAGGCACAGGUCUCCCUGUCUGCAUCGCCACAACCACUUCUCCUUAGCCCUGCCAACUUUCCCAUGCUCCUGCAUCCCAGCAAUGACACCACAUGCAGACAGACGCCAGUGAGGAUCAACCUUUGAAGACCAAAAGCACAAGCUGGCAUCUCUUCGGCUGCCGGACGCCUCUGGUUAGCAAGCACCUUUGGGUCUGAGAGGAAUUAGCCUGCAGAGGGAGGCACGGGCAGUUUGACAGCCUGACUCAUGAUCUUUGUAUUUGUAUUAUUAUUACUGGUAGUGAAAUUAUGAUAGGAUCCAGGAGCCUGAAUCGCAGAUGAGGAAUGUGCUUUUGAAGGGAAACUCCUGGCCAUCUCACUUUGGCUUGUGCUGCGAAUCUUAGGGCGGGUGACACGCUGGACUUUUAUCAUCAUCAGCUCAACUGGAAGGUGUGAAGGGUGGUCAGUCCCCAGGAGCGGGCUAGAGGCACCCUAAAAAUAUCCCCUAAAAUAUGUGUGGUGUAGUUGGUGGCUCCCCAGCUCCAGCUGUGCUGCUCCAUGAAUCUACUCAUACUGUACCUCACUGCUUGUGAGCACCAGCAGAGCCAGACACCACACAGGCACGUAGAUACGUGCCUCUCGUCAGCAGAAAUAUUGGCCGGUUAACUCUGUCUUCCUGAGUUACUGAAAGGCCAUGGGUGCUGGGGGAUAGGUGCAAAGCACGGCACUGUUUUAGCUGUUUUCUUUGAAGUUCUCAGUAGGAAAGUGAUGGUUGUUGGUGGUGGUCGUAUUAUCAUUUAAUUCUAACGACUUCUAAGAAGGUGAAGGGGUGAGGAACUUUAAAUGAAGUUACUGAAAAUUAGUGUUGUGACAAAGGGGUAAUUAUCUGAAAUUUUUCCCAUUAAUAUGGCAUAUAUUUUUUGUUUAAGGUGUGUUAUUUGCUAGAACAAAACAGGUUGCCAAAAGAACGAAGCAGGAAAGGUAACACACGUAACCUUACAAAAAGCAUCAAGGAGCUAGCCAUAAGGUAUAUAUCCCUUGCUUAGCUUUCUUCAGUAAAAAAAAACAGUUUAUCCAGAGUAAGAGUAGGAUGAAAAGGAUGGACUUACAGCCCAGAAAAAGAUGGGGUCCUUGUUUGCCAGAGACUGUGCAGGGAGUCAGGAAGGGGGGCAAUGAGGCACUCUGCUUCUACCCAUAUGGUGUCAUGGCUUAGAGAAGGCAUACUAAAACUUGCAUAUUAAAACUUGCAAAUUAAAAUUUGUGAAAAGGAGCAUCUGUGUUUGGUGAACUUGGGGUAUUGCUUUCUUUCCUGUGAGAUGUGUAACUCUCUGGUAAGGAAGUCAAUAGUGCUUUGAUGGGGAAAUGUUGCUUUUGAGAAAACCUACCUGAUGACAGCUUCUGAGUCUGAAGGGACUUGUAGUUAGAACUUGUAGUUGAGUUGAGCUUGCCUUCUUAUGAUUGAAGAACAAGGCACGUGCUGCCCAGUGAAGAUGCUGAAGAGCAGGAGGGUGCCCUGGUUAGAGUAACCUGCAGGAAAUGAGCAUCACGUCCUGUGAAGAGGGGGUUCAAAGAGAGCCUGACUGCACUAGUGGUUGUGCCCAGCUACGGGGGGGGACACACACACUAAAGCUUAUUUUAACCCAAGUAGUGCAAGCCCUGGAAGUACUCCUGAAAGCAGUACUGUCCUGGGACCAUUUAUCUGUGAGAAAAUACUGCUAGCCCACUUUGCAGCCUGAGGUGGGGAAACGUGGCUCAGGAAGAGCACUUUGUUGGAGUCUUUGGUGCUUACUGAAGACCUCUUUGUCGCACACUACUUUGUCAGGACAUUUCACACUCUCCUCUAAAGCUCCCCAGGCUAUAACGUACGUGAGGGCUACCCAGGCUGUUGGUCAUCUUGAUUUGGGCACUUCUAUCAUUAGCUUCCUUCUGCAUACCCAGUGUUGUAAGCCUUCUCCACAUCUCUUAAUAGUAUUACGAAAAUUCAAAGCUGAAAAUAGUUUUUGAAAUGACUGCAUGUUAGACCUGCAAAAUAUUACUGUAC
This is a long non-coding RNA of Grus americana (Whooping crane), 2571 nucleotides long. RefSeq lists it as uncharacterized. The transcript is spliced from 4 exons. NCBI's taxonomy places the organism in Eukaryota, Metazoa, Chordata, Aves, Gruiformes, Gruidae. The record is from RefSeq and is a predicted model, not a curated record.